This is a long non-coding RNA of Nothoprocta perdicaria, 1165 nucleotides long. RefSeq lists it as uncharacterized. NCBI's taxonomy places the organism in Eukaryota, Metazoa, Chordata, Aves, Tinamiformes, Tinamidae. The transcript is spliced from 5 exons. The record is from RefSeq and is a predicted model, not a curated record.
UUGUGGGGCUCCUGCUUGGGGGGGGAAAGCUAAAAGAAAGUUCAAGUGUUCUCCUUGACAGAUCUUGAACUGAUCUGUUUAGGACUCUGAGCUGUAUCCCUCCAAAGGGAAGCGUCUCUUGCUAUGUUGCUGCCUGCUGCCUAUAUUGUGGUUGGGCAAUUGCAAAGAAGAUUGGAUCCAGGGAAAACCUGGGUGUGCUCCUGAGCUGCAUGUUGUGGCCAAAGUUCUCAGUGAAACAGUGCAAAACAUGUACCUCUGACACUGGAAAUUGGGAGCGGGGAAGGAAGUAUUGAAUUCUGCUCACGUCCAUCCAUGUCCAUCAAUCCAUAUUGACACAGCACAGGCUCCAGAUCUGCAAAUGCUGCCGACAGCAAUGCCAUCUCCUUCAUGUGUGUCUGGAAGCUACAGAUUCAUAGCAAAAAUUAUCUAGGACUGCAACUCAGAAAUUUGGAGACUGAACUACUGCAGUAAAGAUACUGAUGUGUCUUUGAAGCACCACAAAUUGCCCAGCAUAUGUAAUCCUGUUCUCUGAAGUGGAGAGAUGAGAUCCUUUUAUGCUUGGAAUGAACAAACCCUGACUAAACCACAGCCUUCUCAAACAGCUAACUAAAUAUGCGAUGAAAACGGAAUCUGACGGUUGGCUACUUGACUGACCAAGGAAAGAUGCUGAACAUAAACUGUAAACAAUACUAAUGGAGGAAAUGAGAGCUUGGGACUCCUUGGUGGUGCUGUGGAUUUUCAAGUGCUGAAGUGGCAGGAUGUGGAGAACGCGCCAUAGGUUGCCGAGGAAUUUUAUACUCUUCCUGGAUAACGUUGCUCUGAGCUGCUCCUGCAAACUGUGGGCAUUAUUCUGGUUCCUGGAGAGUGGAGCACUUUCUCCCAAUUCCUUUUCCUUGGCAGCGGCACAGCAGAGGUGAUCAGGCUUCAUGGGGACAGUGUUUUGCUGCUCAUGGUUCCCAGCUCUCUUUUCAUCUGUGUCUCUGCAUUUCUAAUUUACUUGGUGCUGUGGGCAAGAUUCUAAUUUUAGCAACCUUGUGCAAUUACUCGGAAGUCACUGGAGUUAAUCCACAAGUACAGUGGGGCUCCAAUCAGCCUUAUGUUGUCUUCUCAGUUCCUUUUCCCCACCCCAUUCCCCUGGCAAUAAACUUGCUCUCUGUGGUUUUAA